RNAcentral lists this ribosomal RNA (700 nucleotides) under Halomonas sp. AS 14. RNAcentral describes it as "bacterial SSU rRNA". It matches the Rfam family "Bacterial small subunit ribosomal RNA", at positions 547 to 1246 of the family's 1533-position model. The record is from RNAcentral. Lineage: Bacteria; Pseudomonadati; Pseudomonadota; Gammaproteobacteria; Oceanospirillales; Halomonadaceae.
GGAUUACUGGGCGUAAGCGCGCGUAGGUGGCUUGAUAAGCCGGUUGUGUAAAGCCCCGGGCUCAACCUGGGAACGGCAUCCGGAACUGUCAAGCUAGAGUGCAGGAGAGGAAGGUAGAAUUCCCGGUGUAGCGGUGAAAUGCGUAGAGAUCGGGAGGAAUACCAGUGGCGAAGGCGGCCUUCUGGACUGACACUGACACUGAGGUGCGAAAGCGUGGGUAGCAAACAGGAUUAGAUACCCUGGUAGUCCACGCCGUAAACGAUGUCGACCAGCCGUUGGGUGCCUAGCGCACUUUGUGGCGAAGUUAACGCGAUAAGUCGACCGCCUGGGGAGUACGGCCGCAAGGUUAAAACUCAAAUGAAUUGACGGGGGCCCGCACAAGCGGUGGAGCAUGUGGUUUAAUUCGAUGCAACGCGAAGAACCUUACCUACUCUUGACAUCCUGCGAACUUGUGAGAGAUCACUUGGUGCCUUCGGGAACGCAGAGACAGGUGCUGCAUGGCUGUCGUCAGCUCGUGUUGUGAAAUGUUGGGUUAAGUCCCGUAACGAGCGCAACCCUUGUCCUUAUUUGCCAGCGCGUAAAUGGCGGGAACUCUAAGGAGACUGCCGGUGACAAACCGGAGGAAGGUGGGGACGACGUCAAGUCAUCAUGGCCCUUACGAGUAGGGCUACACACGUGCUACAAUGGUCGGUACAAAAGG